Long non-coding RNA from Mauremys reevesii (Reeves's turtle), 2559 nucleotides. RefSeq lists it as uncharacterized. Lineage: Eukaryota; Metazoa; Chordata; Testudines; Geoemydidae. The transcript has 4 exons. The record is from RefSeq and is a predicted model, not a curated record.
AUCAUUAUGCUGUUCAUAUUUUUCAGCACAGGCUGCAAUCUUUUUUUCUUUUCUUGUGGGGGAGCAAGCAAGGACAGAUUGAUGAAGGUGAAGAUUUAUUGACUUGGUCCACUGUUGAGGCACAUUGAUUUUUAGCUUGUUAAUCUUGACGGUAACACGUGAAACAAUUUGUUUUGUUUUGGUUGAUCCUUGUGUCAAUUCUGGUACUGAGGAGUGCUGAAUCCUGAGCAACAGAAGAGGAAACCACGUAUUUGGAGGUCUUUUUUUCUCCAACUGAUUCAAAUAGAUCUUCAGAGCAUCUUCCCGUUGUUAAAAGCCUGACUGAUAAUUCAUCUUCAAAUUUGUCUUCGGAGGAAGAAGAAAUUUCACGUUAUUUUAAUUUUCCAAGACUUUUUUUAGUCUCUCACUUCAAGUGAUGCCACAGAGAAAGAGGUAGUGAAAGAGCACAUCCAUCAUCUUUACAGGUAGUCAAAAAGACAGUAUCCUUUUAAAAAUCAUAGCAAGGAAAAUCAAUUCAAACAUGAUGUUUUCCAAAAGCUCACACAUCUAUAUUUAAAUAGAUUCAACCACUUUGUAUAACUGCAGAAAAUAUUUAAAUGGUAAUAAUGUAUUCAGUGCUCUACACGAUGUAGUUUCACAGUCCUUGCUCUGAGGAGCGUACACUUGACAAGACAAGAUACAGGUAAAAAGAUACAUUCAUGUAGGAAAAUGAAAGGUUAUACAACUAGGAACAAACAAUGUUGGUCACCCUGAUAGGUUGUAGGAUUGUGUUCUGUGAAUGUGACUUACAUUCUUUGUUCUUAGAUGUAUAACUUGUGAUUCUGAUAAGGAUGUGGGGUCACAGUGAAUAAAUAGAGGUUUAUUACCCCAUGCAGUAACUGAAGUUCUGUGAGAUGUGUUCCUCUAUAGGUGCUCCACUCUUGAUUGGAGAUUUUCAUGAGCAAUGUCUGUUCGGUCCAUGCACGUGCCAUUGGUAUCCUCAUGCCCUGCACCGAGGCUAUGUCAGAUUGCACAGACAAACCACUCCCUCAGUUCCUUCUGCACCACUGAGUCUCAGAAGAAACUCCAAAGCAGAGCGGAAGGAGGGUGGUAGUUGAGCACCCAUGGGGGAUACAUCUUGAAGAACUACAGUUACUGCACAGGGUGAGUAACCUCUCUUUCAUCUUUGAGUAGGGUCCCUAUGGGUGAUCCAUUCUUGGUGACUCCCAAGGACUAUUCCCAGAAGGAGGAGUGGGGGCAUUUGGAAUGGAGUCCAUCACAGAGGCAAGAACUGCCUUGCCGAAUGUAGUGUCGGACCUGGAGGCAUCAUCCAGGACAUUGUGUCUAGAGAGAAGGCAUGCAUCAAAGACCAUGUAGCGGCUCUGCAGAUCUCUGAAAUAGUGCAACGGUAGAGAUGGACUGUCAAUACUAUAGUAGCAUACUACAAUACACUUGGGAAAUCCAUUUAGAAAGUCUCUGGGUAGAAAUGGCAGAGCUGUCUCAAUCAAAACAAAGAGUCCAGUGGAUUUACGAAAUGGUUUAGUUCUAUCAAGACAGAAGGAUAAUGCUCUCCUGACAUCUAGAGUUGGAAGUAUGUGGUUUUGGAAGGUUGGAAGUAUGUGGUUUGGGAAAGAAAACUGGUAGGUAUAUGAUCUGAUUCAGAUGAAAUUCAGAAGUUACUUUAGGUAGAAACCUGAUCCUUGUAAAAUAUUGUGAAGUGGGGGAGGAGGUCCGCCAUUAAGUCCCCAAUCUCUCUGACUCUGCAGUGUGAGGUAAUAGUCACUAGGAAGGCUGUUUUACUAGAUAAAUCCAAUAAGGAGCAGGUGAACAUCAGUUCAACGAGGUUUUCUGGGGCUUUCGAGAAACAAGUUCAGGUCCCAGGCAGGGGUAGGAACCUUUAUCUAUGGGAAGACAUUCCCCAGACCUUUUAUAUAUCUUGUGGUUGUGAGGUGAGCAAACAGAGAAAAACCCUCAAUAGUAGUAUGAAAGGAUGUUAAGGCCAUCAGAUGAACCUUGAGGGAAUUAUGGGACAUCCUGAUUUAUUAAGAUAUAGCAGGUGCUUGAGGAUGAGCGGAAGCGGGGCAGAUUUGGGAGCAGCAUUGUGGAGUUCACAUCAGUGGCCAAAUCUUGUCUACUUUUGAAGGUAAGUAGUUCUGGUGGAAACUUUUCUACUAUUUAAUAGUAUGUGUUAUAUCUCACAGAGCAGGAUGACUCUAGCUCCAUGAACCAUCAAGGAAUGACCCUUCAGGCAAAGAAUGCCCAAGUUGGGAUGCAUCAGAGGACCAGAGUCCUGGGAAAGGAAAUUAGUAGUUGGGAGAUUUAUCAGAUCGAGAGCAAGAUGAAACAGGGGAGAAGCAGAGACAGGGCUGGAACUAUGCUGUAAGAAGCUUGGGGCCAGAUAUGAAAAAUAAUCUGAAUCAUACCUAGAAACUACUCACUUGAAACCCCCAGAAACCCCUUCCCCGGAGCGGGGGUGAAAGGACUUGGGAAUUCCUUCCUAUGGGGUACCCUCAAGUGCAUCUUCCUGGGCUCUCAAAGGGUUUUUUGCACUUGAGUGGUGGCAGCAUCUACCCAUCCAAG